This is a long non-coding RNA of Populus trichocarpa (black cottonwood), 1178 nucleotides long. RefSeq lists it as uncharacterized. The record is from RefSeq and is a predicted model, not a curated record. Lineage: Eukaryota; Viridiplantae; Streptophyta; Magnoliopsida; Malpighiales; Salicaceae. The transcript has 2 exons.
UUCAGAAAGAGAGAAAAAAAAAAAAAAGAGUUAUACAUCUCCCUCUCUUCCCCUCCUUCUUCACCAUUUUCCAAUCCCAUCCUUCCUUUCAUUUUCUUCAUUUUUUCCGGCCGAUCUACAACCACGAAGGAACCCAUCGAUUGGUCACACCUUCCCCUUUCUCAAGCCAACCAAGCCUUCCCAUAUCUCUAUCCUUUCCUUUAUUUAUUUUUCUAUCCAUGCACAUUCCUCUCUCCAUCAUGAAACCACAACCAAAUUUCCAAGCGUAUAAAGCACCAGCUCCGACAAGCCCUCUUCUUUUUUCAAUCAAAAUAAGCCACCGCCAUUUUCUUUUUACCAACCUCUCUCUUCCUACCAGCGUCAUCACCUGCCAAUCUCUAUUAACAACAACCAUUGCCCCAAAACUGUCAGCCUUAAAAUCUCCAGCUCCCUCCAUUUGAAACCAAGCUAAAACCACCAAAUCUCUUUCUCAGCGACCAAAAUCACCAUCUCCCUCCACCCAAAAAACAACCUUAAAAAAUCAAUUAAAAAAAAGAACAGUACCGGUGCGUGAAGCACAAGUGCCACCCCUUAGCACUCGUGUCUGCAUGCUAGGAUGUAAUUUUACUCGCUAUCACUGCCCAACCCAGUUCUAGCAAUUUUAAAUGGAUUGGAUCAAGUUUUCCUCAUCACAUUCAUGGUGGAAUAUGGAAUAUUCAAGAUCAUGGAUGCAAAGAAAUUUGAAGGUUAUCUCAUCCUUUACUGUUAAGAAAGAAAGAGUAUGGAUUCCGAUAAUAUCUUGAUCUAAUGUGUCUUAAUCAAGGCAUUGUCCCAUCAUAGGCACAGCUUAUUCUCAAUACAUCUCACUUAUUUCCAUGGAUGCCCGACUUAAAUUCCAGGCACAUUCACCAUCAUCUUUUUCACUCUCUCUUUCAAUUAAUUAAAAGUUUUCUUUUUAGUACAGUUCUGUUACUUGUACUGAGAUUAUUGUGGUGCGUCACGGCGAGACGGCGUGGAAUGUUGACGGAAGAGUUUCUUAGCAUUUCUUGUUCUAAUGCUGGAGUUAAUUUCUUAACCUUGUAUGUUUAAGGCAGCUGAUAGACUAUCCAGGGAGUUCAAACUUUAAAGUCUCUCUAGUGUAUUCUUCUUAUUUGAAGCGAGCUUCCGAGAUAUAAUUAAGAAUUACUCCAUUUUUCAAA